Molecule: long non-coding RNA, 311 nt
Organism: Archocentrus centrarchus (flier cichlid)
Lineage: Eukaryota; Metazoa; Chordata; Actinopteri; Cichliformes; Cichlidae
Exons: 3
Source: RefSeq, a predicted model, not a curated record
CAGGAGCGCGCGGACGGAGUCGGUUUUACCGGGCGCACGAGCAGGAGCCACAAUGAGUUUCGAUCUGUCAUCAGGAAAGUAGCAAGGACAGGUCUGGAAGUAAGGGAGACGGUGGAAAGAAGAAGGUCAAAAAGAAGAAGGAGAAGGGCAAAUCAGGCAACAGCAGUUCAUCAUCUUCCAGCAGUGAUGAAGAGAACUGACGCUUCCUGGGGGACCGGACUGCUCUGUUAGUUAUAAUGUCGUCUAACGUCUGAGUGAGUGCGUGAGGUUUUCUUCUGGUCCUUCUGUCAAUGUCGUGUGUAAGAAAACAG